Long non-coding RNA from Ostrinia furnacalis (Asian corn borer), 491 nucleotides. RefSeq lists it as uncharacterized. The transcript has 2 exons. NCBI's taxonomy places the organism in Eukaryota, Metazoa, Arthropoda, Insecta, Lepidoptera, Crambidae. The record is from RefSeq and is a predicted model, not a curated record.
GACCCUCUGCGCGCACGCUGGCCGAGCGCCGUAUAUAGUGGAGUGGGAGGCGUGCGCUCGUCAAAGUGAAUUCAACAUUCGCCGCGAAUACACGUACUCGUACAACUUUCCCACAAAAUGUAUACCAACCCAUUCGAGAGAAAGCACUCCUCGCUCCGGCAGGCCCUUGACCGCUUCAUCGGCGAAACCCGGCUCAGCUUCAAAAAGAAAAUCAACAUGGCCAAGUCGAAGAGUUCGUCCAGUGCGUCCUCGGUUUCAUCAUCAUCAUCGUUCUCGUCGUUGCAAUUCAAACCGAAUUCUAACGGGAAGAGGUGAAGGACUGUGUGAUGUGUGUGGUUACCAGUGAUCUCGAAACGAGCGCCACUUCGAAAACAGGCUGAGUGGUGCGACCGGUCGAUUGACGUCAUGGCUGCGCCGACGACACAGAAAAUGGACACCUACAUCCAGUCAAUUUGGAAGAAUCAUUAAAUAAACGUAUCAUUAAUUGCAUA